Molecule: long non-coding RNA, 476 nt
Filed under: Olea europaea (common olive)
Lineage: Eukaryota; Viridiplantae; Streptophyta; Magnoliopsida; Lamiales; Oleaceae
Description: long non-coding RNA (OEUR_LNC003901)
Source: RNAcentral
CUAUUGAAUCAACGGCUGCUUCACGUUUGGAACCUUUCCAACAUACCACUUAAGAGUAAACCAGUUUCUCCAUAUGAAAUCUUCUCAAUAUUUCAUCUAUGUAAAUUGGGAUAAGUUAAGCAAUCUUCUAGAUCUACCUCUAUAGAUCAAGUUGCUUAUCCCAUAUCAUUUAUGAAUAAAUCUUUUAACAACCAUUAUUUCAACGAUUGAAAUAUAGGGAUGUCGUUUUAGGAAUACGAAAAAUGCUCUCACUAUCUUCUUGUAAACACACAAUUCAUUUUCAAAUUUGAUAAAAUCAAACACUUUGACUUUUCAUCAAAUCUAAGAUUUCAGCUCCAAGAGACUUCUCUUAACCUAUAGACACAAUAUGCAACUGUUGUAAACAAAACCCGAAUGGACUUAAGCAAGGCUAUAGGAGAACUAUUUCACCAAGGUCAACAUUUAACCUUUGCUUCUAGCAUUGCUUUGUAUAUAUN